Molecule: ribosomal RNA, 486 nt
Filed under: uncultured bacterium
Lineage: Bacteria
Description: partial 16S ribosomal RNA
Rfam family: Bacterial small subunit ribosomal RNA
Source: RNAcentral
AUUGAACGCUGGCGGCAUGCCUUACACAUGCAAGUCGAACGGCAGCACGGGUGCUUGCACCUGGUGGCGAGUGGCGAACGGGUGAGUAAUACAUCGGAACAUGUCCUGUAGUGGGGGAUAGCCCGGCGAAAGCCGGAUUAAUACCGCAUACGAUCUACGGAUGAAAGCGGGGGACCUUCGGGCCUCGCGCUAUAGGGUUGGCCGAUGGCUGAUUAGCUAGUUGGUGGGGUAAAGGCCUACCAAGGCGACGAUCAGUAGCUGGUCUGAGAGGACGACCAGCCCAACUGGGACUGAGACACGGCCCAGACUCCUACGGGAGGCAGCAGUGGGGAAUUUUGGACACAGGGCGAAAGCCUGAUCCAGCAAUGCCGCGUGUGUGAAGAAGGCCUUCGGGUUGUAAAGCACUUUUGUCCGGAAAGAAAUCCUUGGCCCUAAUGCGGUCGGGGGAUGACGGUACCGGAAGAAUAAGCACCGGCUAACUACGUG